ACGCUGGUGGCAGGCUUAACACAUGCAAGUCGAACGGUAACAGGAGAAAGCUUGCUUUCUUGCUGACGAGUGGCGGACGGGUGAGUAAUGCUUGGGAAUCUGGCUUAUGGAGGGGGAUAACGACGGGAAACUGUCGCUAAUACCGCGUAGAGUCGAGAGACGAAAGUGCGGGACCGCAAGGCCGCAUGCCAUAGGAUGAGCCCAAGUGGGAUUAGGUAGUUGGUGGGGUAAUAGCCUACCAAGCCGACGAUCUCUAGCUGGUCUGAGAGGAUGACCAGCCACACCGGGACUGAGACACGGCCCGGACUCCUACGGGAGGCAGCAGUGGGGAAUAUUGCGCAAUGGGGGCAACCCUGACGCAGCCAUGCCGCGUGAAUGAAGAAGGCCUUCGGGUUGUAAAGUUCUUUCGGUAUUGAGGAAGGUUGUUGUGUUAAUAGCACGACAAAUUGACGUUAAAUACAGAAGAAGCACCGGCUAACUCCGUGCCAGCAGCCGCGGUAAUACGGAGGGUGCGAGCGUUAAUCGGAAUAACUGGGCGUAAAGGGCACGCAGGCGGACUUUUAAGUGAGGUGUGAAAUCCCCGGGCUUAACCUGGGAACUGCAUUUCAGACUGGGAGUCUAGAGUACUUUAGGGAGGGGUAGAAUUCCACGUGUAGCGGUGAAAUGCGUAGAGAUGUGGAGGAAUACCGAAGGCGAAGGCAGCCCCUUGGGAAUGUACUGACGCUCAUGUGCGAAAGCGUGGGGAGCAAACAGGAUUAGAUACCCUGGUAGUCCACGCUGUAAACGCUGUCGAUUUGGGGAUUGGGCUUUAAGCUUGGUGCCCGAAGCUAACGUGAUAAAUCGACCGCCUGGGGAGUACGGCCGCAAGGUUAAAACUCAAAUGAAUUGACGGGGGCCCGCACAAGCGGUGGAGCAUGUGG
Molecule: ribosomal RNA, 920 nt
Filed under: uncultured bacterium
Lineage: Bacteria
Description: bacterial SSU rRNA
Rfam family: Bacterial small subunit ribosomal RNA
Source: RNAcentral